AUGAAGGCAGGAGUCAGAACAAAGCAAAACAAAAUUGAAAGCACAACGAAGCAAAACCCACAGCAUGAAAUAAGCAAUUUGAGCUGACGAAAAAGGUAAAAGGCACAAGAAAACCUUGAAGAUCGAAGAAUAUAAAGCCCACAUUAAGAAAGAAGAGAACGAAAAUUAUUGAAGCAGAAAAGAAAGAUCGAAGAAAGUAAGAGCAAAUAAAAAGUUGUAAUCAGGUUAGAACACUCACCCUAUCUCUAUAUCGGUUCUUGCACUUUCCUCUAAAUUUUUGUAAAGCCCUAAUUGUCAAUUUGUUUCAGAUUUUUCUGUUCUAGACUUGAUUUAAAUUUAGAUAGGCUUCUAUGCAUGAAUAAUUUGUUUAUUUACUUUUUCACGGGCAUGCACACAUGAAUUGAUGAUUUGCAAAUAUAACUAAGAAAAUUCCACUGGGUGUUUAUAAAAUAUGAUUUAGAAGAUGUGUUGUUUGUUUACUAGUUUUGAUUUUAGGAAUUGAUGAUUUAAAGUUUUUAAAAAUUAUGUAUUGGUCCUUUUUUGUUAUAUAGUAGCACAUGGUUGGACAUGUUGCAUAAUUUAAUAUGUUUGAGCAUGAAAGUUCCUUAAUUUUUUCAAAAUUUUAUCCUUAUGGCAACAAAUUUUAAUUAUUUCAUGACAAGUUGACCUUAAUUAUUAAAAUUAUUUAUCAUUAGGAUGUGCUUUUGUGUGUGUCUUUAUGUGCCGGCUUUUAGUAAAUAAAUAAUUUUUUAAAUGCGGUAAUUGUGUUCAUUUGUUGUUUUGCAAGAUGUUAUUAAAGUAAUUGUAUCAUAUUUGUAUUUUGUUAUUUUUUGUGAUUUACUAAAUUAGGUUUAGUAGUAAUAAAAGUAUUAAUACUAUUACAAAUUGAAUGUGGUAGGCAGGUUUUUUUAUUUGUCUGAUUCGAUUACUACUGUGGUUAAAAGUUUUGUUAAGUGGGACAAGAAGGUGUUUGAUUGGUUCAGGUACGAAUACAUUGUCAUUUCAACUGUAAUCGUGUGGCUUUGUGACAUGUUACC
RNAcentral lists this long non-coding RNA (1037 nucleotides) under Citrus sinensis (sweet orange). RNAcentral's name for it is "long non-coding RNA (CSIN_LNC004165)". Lineage: Eukaryota; Viridiplantae; Streptophyta; Magnoliopsida; Sapindales; Rutaceae. The record is from RNAcentral.